UACGGAGGGGGCUAGCGUUGUUCGGAAUUACUGGGCGUAAAGCGCACGUAGGCGGCUUUGUAAGUUAGAGGUGAAAGCCCGGGGCUCAACUCCGGAAUUGCCUUUAAGACUGCAUCGCUCGAAUUGUGGAGAGGUAAGUGGAAUUCCGAGUGUAGAGGUGAAAUUCGUAGAUAUUCGGAAGAGCACCAGUGGCGAAGGCGACUUACUGGACACAGUAU
This 218-nucleotide ribosomal RNA is filed under the name uncultured bacterium. RNAcentral's name for it is "partial 16S ribosomal RNA". It matches the Rfam family "Bacterial small subunit ribosomal RNA", at positions 524 to 740 of the family's 1533-position model. The record is from RNAcentral.